Sitodiplosis mosellana (orange wheat blossom midge) is the source of this 522-nucleotide long non-coding RNA. RefSeq lists it as uncharacterized. Lineage: Eukaryota; Metazoa; Arthropoda; Insecta; Diptera; Cecidomyiidae. The transcript has 2 exons. The record is from RefSeq and is a predicted model, not a curated record.
AGAUCAUAUUUGUGACGGAAUUAAAUCCCCUCAAUUCUGAUUAUAUGUAUGGAAAACAAGGCCUGAUAAAUGGCUUAGUACCAAAAGCAUUCUUGGAACUUUUGGAAGAAUAAUUUUCUUGUGGUAUGGCAUCGGAGUAUAUUGUUUCGAUGUUUUGAUAUCAUUUUGCCUCCUAACAUUCAAUUAAAUCUGUUCGCAAAUAUUUAUUCUAUUCCUUUAGAAAUUUAAUUGUAAUAAAUACUCUCUUUGCUUCAGGUUCAGAUAUUCUUAAAAUACGCAUAGUUAAGCAGGGGGAUUACAGAUUGACAGUUGAGCUGCAUGAUAUAUACUGAAUGAAUAGUUCUGCAGCUUGCCGUAUAUGAUAUUGUAGGGGCAAACUGCGGCGCUAGUGUGCUUGUGUUUCAAUCUACAAACCCCCUGUAGUUAAGAUAUUCAUUAGAUGACUACUAUGUAUAAAAUCGUAUUGUUGAUUUUUAAAUAACGAUACAAAUAAAACAGCCAUGAAAUGUUUAGAAAAAUUCA